CCUAACACAAGUGCAACUCCUGGGGAUUUGAACCCAGCAAAACUGCUGGUGGCGUGAACGGGCUGGAAGCUCUGUGGACAUCCCGGCUCAGAGCCGGGGGGCUCUUUUGCAAACUAAAGUCGAAUGUAAAUCAGCAUUGCUCCAGUAAUUUCAGAGAAAUGCUCACACUUGCAGACAUGUCUGGGGAAUAAAACCCCUGAUCUGGGAAGAUUUAUGUUUAUAAUGCUUGGACCUAAAUCUGCGGCCAGUUAUUAGGCUAUUUAUGGCAGCUGUUCCUAAUUAGUUUGUGGGCAGGGCUCCUUUGUAUGCAUUUGGGUUUACCUCCUGUGUGCUGUCACCCUGCUUUUGCACUCAGCUUUACUUUAGUCCUUACAGCACAAAAAGCAACAGCUGCAUCCUCCUUCUUCACCGUGACAUUUGACUUUCCUUUCUUUUAUUGACUUGUUUUUAUCUGAGGCAAAACAACGCACUUAAAUAUGGAUGAUUCUUAUUUCUAAAAUAAAAGGCCUGAUACAAGGAAACGUUCUCCCUGCUAGUCUAAUUUGUAUCUAGGUUAAUUGCUCUCCUGGUGGAUGUUUAAUUGAUUCACGUAAAGAAAGCCAAUGAAGGGCUCUAGCUCAGUGACGACUCUACAUAACUGCAGUGACUCCUUUUUCUCUUUAAUUAGCACUAAACGAGGAGUCCACCUUGCGGAUGGCUACUGAGAUCUCCAAGGGACCCAUUUUUAUUUAGAUGCUGUAUAUAGCAAUAGUUUAUUUUUCUGAUGCAGACCACUACAGUAAACGUUGAACAGAAAUGAAGAGGUUUUUAGAUGAGUGUGAGAAGGACCUGCAGCGACAGAGAAGAUAUCUGCAUACAGAAAUCCAAAUGAUCUUCAGCAAUGCCGUGGUCACAGUGAUGCUGCAAGACCAUGACAUGCAAAUGUGGUGGAAUUUGCUGCAUUGCUUUUUUUUCACUUUUCUAUUUCCAAGCUUAAGAUUAGCAUUAGGUCUUCACUAACUGGCUCCACGCCAAUGAAAUGCAUUUAGAAAACACUUUGAGAAAAGAAUUUAAAGGCUAUCACCUGUAAAUUUCAAGGUCAGAAUAUUCAUCACCGUCCUUUGAAAUGCUCCCUGUGUUGGUAUUGCAGGUUAUGUCUGAAAUUUUGCCAGGUUUGAAGUCUGUAUGUUUUAGAAUUACAAAAUAAAGCAAACAAAACUCCCCCA
This 1205-nucleotide long non-coding RNA is filed under the name Anser brachyrhynchus (Pink-footed goose). RNAcentral describes it as "lncRNA (ENSABRG00000018135.1)". Lineage: Eukaryota; Metazoa; Chordata; Aves; Anseriformes; Anatidae. The record is from RNAcentral.